CCCUGGUACGUAGGGGAAACUGUAAGCAGCAAAAAGAAGAAAGCAUGCUCUCCCCCCCAGACCCCCCACCACCGCCAUGGAAGGAGCUCUCAUCUGAAUUCCAGGAUCCAUUUUCAUUUCCUUAUGGACUAGAAAGAACAAUUCUGCCAGCCUCGCUGCUACCUGGGGGAGGGGCCCAGAAUGUACAUGUGGGAGUGAGCCAAAUACUACCUUCAUGAGAACAACACAGUAGAGGAUGGUGAAGCAACACCAUGGAAGGAGUUGGGCUCCAGAGGACCUUGGGGGACAAUUCUCUCCCUUGAAUGCGUAUCAGCUGGGGGAUGGGGGAAGACAGAGAGGGAGAGAGAGAGAGAGAGAGAGAGAGAGAGAGAGAGAGAGAGAGAGA
Long non-coding RNA from Rhinolophus ferrumequinum (greater horseshoe bat), 385 nucleotides. RefSeq lists it as uncharacterized. NCBI's taxonomy places the organism in Eukaryota, Metazoa, Chordata, Mammalia, Chiroptera, Rhinolophidae. The record is from RefSeq and is a predicted model, not a curated record. The transcript is spliced from 3 exons.